AGAGUUUGAUCAUGGCUCAGGAUGAACGCUGGCGGUAUGCGUAGGUAUGCAAGUUUGACGAAACCCUUCGGGGUUUAGGGGCGGACGGGUGAGUAAUGCGUGAGAAUCUGCCUUAAGGUUUGGGACAACAGCUGGAAACGGCUGCUAAUACCAGAUAUGCCCUUCAGUGAAAGGAGUUAAUCUCCGCCUUUUGAUGAGCUCGCGUCUGAUUAGCUAGUUGGUGGGGUAAGAGCCUACCAAGGCUUCGAUCAGUAGCUGGUUUGAGAGAACGACCAGCCACACUGGGACUGAGACACGGCCCAGACUCCUACGGGAGGCAGCAGUGAGGAAUUUUCCGCAAUGGGCGAAAGCCUGACGGAGCAAUACCGCGUGAGGGAGGAAGGCUCUUGGGUUGUAAACCUCUUUUCUCAGAGAAGAAUAAUGACGGUAUCUGAGGAAUAAGCAUCGGCUAACUCCGUGCCAGCAGCCGCGGUAAUACGGAGGAUGCAAGCGUUAUCCGGAAUGAUUGGGCGUAAAGGGUCUGUAGGUGGUUGUUCAAGUCUGCUGUUAAAGCAUCUGGCUUAACCAGAUAAAGGCAGUGGAAACUGAACGACUUGAGUGCAAUAGAGGUAGAGGGAAUUCCCAGAGUAGCGGUGAAAUGCGUAGAUAUUGGGA
This 654-nucleotide ribosomal RNA is filed under the name uncultured bacterium. RNAcentral's name for it is "partial 16S ribosomal RNA". It matches the Rfam family "Bacterial small subunit ribosomal RNA", at positions 8 to 702 of the family's 1533-position model. The record is from RNAcentral.